GAGGGGAGGUCGGAUCCUGGGCUGUGUCCCCGGCGCUCUGUGUUCCCGGGCCUGUGCUGUUGGAUUCGGCUCCUGGCCAGGCAGCCCCCU
Molecule: microRNA precursor, 90 nt
Filed under: Canis lupus familiaris (dog)
Lineage: Eukaryota; Metazoa; Chordata; Mammalia; Carnivora; Canidae
Also listed under: 1 other name
Description: mir-8799 microRNA precursor family
Rfam family: mir-8799 microRNA precursor family
Source: Rfam by way of RNAcentral